RNAcentral lists this transfer RNA (73 nucleotides) under Endomicrobium sp. Its description in RNAcentral is "tRNA-Thr". It matches the Rfam family "tRNA". From Rfam's summary of the family: Transfer RNA (tRNA) molecules are approximately 80 nucleotides in length. Their secondary structure includes four short double-helical elements and three loops (D, anti-codon, and T loops). Further hydrogen bonds mediate the characteristic L-shaped molecular structure. tRNAs have two regions of fundamental functional importance: the anti-codon, which is responsible for specific mRNA codon recognition, and the 3' end, to which the tRNAs corresponding amino acid is attached (by aminoacyl-tRNA synthetases). tRNAs cope with the degeneracy of the genetic code in two manners: having more than one tRNA (with a specific anti-codon) for a particular amino acid; and 'wobble' base-pairing, i.e. permitting non-standard base-pairing at the 3rd anti-codon position. The record is from RNAcentral. Lineage: Bacteria; Pseudomonadati; Elusimicrobiota; Endomicrobiia; Endomicrobiales; Endomicrobiaceae.
GCCGAUGUAGCUCAGUUGGAAGAGCAGCGGUUUUGUAAACCGCAGGUCGUAGGUUCGAAUCCUAUCAUCGGCU